This 253-nucleotide ribosomal RNA is filed under the name uncultured bacterium. Its description in RNAcentral is "partial 16S ribosomal RNA". It matches the Rfam family "Bacterial small subunit ribosomal RNA", at positions 524 to 776 of the family's 1533-position model. The record is from RNAcentral.
UACGGGGGGGGCAAGCGUUGUUCGGAAUUACUGGGCGUAAAGGGCGCGUAGGCGGCUCGGCACGUCCGUUGUGAAAUCGCCCGGCUCAACUGGGCGGGGUCGGCGGAUACGGCCGAGCUGGAGCAAGCUAGGGGGUAAUGGAAUUCCCGGUGUAGUGGUGGAAUGCGUGGAUAUCGGGAGGAACACCAGUGGCGAAGGCGGUUACCUGGAGCUUUGCUGACGCUGAUGCGCGAAAGCGUGGGGAGCGAUCCGG